Long non-coding RNA from Bubalus bubalis (water buffalo), 574 nucleotides. RefSeq lists it as uncharacterized. The transcript has 4 exons. NCBI's taxonomy places the organism in Eukaryota, Metazoa, Chordata, Mammalia, Artiodactyla, Bovidae. The record is from RefSeq and is a predicted model, not a curated record.
GCUGAAGUUCGCCUCCCCCUUGCCCAAGUCGGGCGGGGGCCCCGGGCCCCGGCCGGACCCGGGCGGGCUCUGGCGGCCGCUCUGGGAGACGCAGACCCGAGCCCGCGGAGCCUGGGGGAGCCCGGGAGCGCGGAGUCCGCCGGCGGCGGCGGAAGCAGCCGGGUGAGGGCGCUGGAGCCCAGGACACCGGAGGAGCAGCCGCGGCUGGCAGCGGAGAGCCUCUUUGCGCUCAGAGGGCUUGGGGUCGCGGGCAGACGUGAAGCCACUCCUCAUGACUCAAAUGUUGCUGCCAUUGGGUACCCUGUCAGCUCUUCCCGAUCCUGGGUUCUCCUGGAAGCUUGUCGAGAAUUCUGUUGUGGAAUCACAGUACCAUGUGUGGUCCCUCCUGUCCUGGGGGAUCCUAGACCUGAUAACUUCCCAGGGAAGCUCCAGGCAGCAGAUGGUAGUUUAACACAUGAACUUCUGGUCAAGCAGAGAAGCUGCAAGAGGACAAGGGCUUUGUCUGCUCGCUGCUGCAUCCUUAGAACCAAAAACAUUUGUGAAAGGAAGGAAAGGAGGGAAGGAGGACGGGAGG